GUGACGCUGGCGGCGUGCUUACACANCGCAAGUCUUACGGUGAACACGGAGCUUGCUCUGUGGGAUCAGUGGCGAACGGGUGAGUAACACGUGAGCAACCUACCCCUGACUCUGGGAUAAGCGCUGGAAACGGCGUCUAAUACUGGAUAUGUGAUGCGACCGCAUGGUCUGUAUCUGGAAAGAAUUUCGGUUGGGGAUGGGCUCGCGGCCUAUCAGCUUGUUGGUGAGGUAAUGGCUCACCAAGGCGUCGACGGGUAGCCGGCCUGAGAGGGUGACCGGCCACACUGGGACUGAGACACGGCCCAGACUCCUACGGGAGGCAGCAGUGGGGAAUAUUGCACAAUGGGCGCAAGCCUGAUCCAGCAACGCCGCGUGAGGGACGACGGCCUUCGGGUUGUAAACCUCUUUUAGCAGGGAAGAAGCGAAAGUGACGGUACCUGCAGAAAAAGCACCGGCUAACUACGUGCCAGCAGCCGCGGUAAUACGUAGGGUGCAAGCGUUAUCCGGAAUUAUUGGGCGUAAAGAGCUCGUAGGCGGUUUGUCGCGUCUGCUGUGAAACUCCCGGGAGGCUCAACCUCCGGCCUGCCAGUGGGUAACGGGCCAGACUAAAGUUGCGGGUAGGGGGAGAAUUGGCANAUUCCCUGGUUGUAGCGGUGGAAUGCGCAGAUUCGGAGGAAACACCGGAUGGCGGAGGCAGUCUCUGGGGCCGUAACCUGACG
Molecule: ribosomal RNA, 719 nt
Filed under: Microbacterium sp. UST050418-855
Lineage: Bacteria; Bacillati; Actinomycetota; Actinomycetes; Micrococcales; Microbacteriaceae
Description: bacterial SSU rRNA
Rfam family: Bacterial small subunit ribosomal RNA
Source: RNAcentral